Molecule: ribosomal RNA, 251 nt
Filed under: uncultured prokaryote
Description: partial 16S rRNA
Rfam family: Bacterial small subunit ribosomal RNA
Source: RNAcentral
ACGGAGGAUCCGAGCGUUAUCCGGAUUUAUUGGGUUUAAAGGGUGCGCAGGCGGACUGGUAAGUCAGGGGUGAAAAUCUACGGCUCAACUGUAGACGUGCCUUUGAUACUGCCGGACUAGAGUUAAGAUGGAGUGGGCGGAAUGUGUUGUGUAGCGGUGAAAUGCUUAGAUAUAACACAGAACACCGAUCGCGAAGGCAGCUCACUAAACUUUGACUGACGCUCAUGCACGAAAGCGUGGGGAUCAAACAG